Molecule: long non-coding RNA, 201 nt
Filed under: Elaeis guineensis (African oil palm)
Lineage: Eukaryota; Viridiplantae; Streptophyta; Magnoliopsida; Arecales; Arecaceae
Description: long non-coding RNA (EGUI_LNC071260)
Source: RNAcentral
GACUCCACCACUCUCUGGCAAGUCGUGACAACGGACACCACUCCACUCUCCGUAACAAACUCCACGUGGCCCUGAACGACCCCUGAUGCCACUACUCUCCGUAACAAACUCUGUACGGCUCUGAACAGUCCACUACCAGGUGGUUACAGAUAUCACUGUCAAUCAGUUACGCUCUCCGUCUAUAAAAAGGGAUCCCCAGAU